UAUUUUUGUCGUCUGACAUCAUAUCAGUCUGCUGGUGGUCCAUUACAUUAUUAAUAUUAAAUCGUUAAUGAGCUAAAUGAAUUUUAAAAAGUAGUUUAACGGUCAUUUUGUGGCGCAAUGCAAAACAAAAACAAACAUGGCGGACAGGAAGCUGGAGUCCCGCCAUUAAACCAGAGAAGAAGAAAACGCCGGAGAGGGCUCCAGGUGUACUGUAACGUGCUCGGACCGUUUGACGGGCUAAUAAAUAAAAGUCAGUCCACUUCUGCAGAGCGGAAACUGUGAAGAAUAACGCUUCGGCACCGAGGAAACGUUGGUUCUGGAUCCAAACGGCUGCUGUUGUCCGCGGUGGAAACUUUGGAGGCUAAUGAGAAAGCUAGCUAGCUAGCUAACGUCUGUUCGGCUGUGUCAGUGAUGCUAAUGUGGAACAACAACGUCUACUGUCACGUUUGUUUUCAUGGAUUUACGACUUUACAGUGCUGGACUGUGAAAAAUGGAAAUACUGGAGACAAUACUGAGCACAGUCAGCCCGCUGCAGGUUCUGGAGCUCUGAAGAAGUUCAGCACUGAACGCAGCUGAGCGGGGACACAGCUAACGGACAGAGGAGCUGCUCCACAGAGAGACCCCAUGAUGACAAAAACUGAAUCUAAACGACAUGUUCAAGUUUAGAGCCACGUGAAGAUGCUGUGAAAGAUGCUGCAGGUUCAUCCACCUCCAGCUCCAACUGAGGAACACAAAAUCAGACAGUGAUUGAACUGUUUGAACCUGGUCAGUGACGGAGAACUCGCCUCUGUUCCACCAAGAAGGAAUCAUAAAAACAUGCUCAGACAUCUGAAGAUGGAUGACUCAGUGAGAGUUUAACUAAAAGGCAAACCUUCUUCUUCCUCUUCCUCCUCUUCACCUCCUCUUCUCUUCCUCUUCUUCUUCUUUUUGCUUUUUAGCAGUAUCAACUGAAUGAAUUCAUUAACUUAGAGCUCCAUGAAUUGAUGAUAUGCUGUACCAAACACUUUAAGAACAAGGAUUAGUAUCCUGUUGCAUGGAAAACAUCAGUUCUGGUUAAGUAAAGUGUAAUAUGGUAUCAUUAAAUGAUGAUUUAUACACCAGCCUACUCUACAUGAUAUUUCCUGCAGUAUAUUAUGUUUUACCCCUUUUGUUCAGUGUAUAUCUUGUCUUCAGUUCAUUACAAUCUCUCUCGUUUGUUUCUUCCUAUUAUUUAAAUCAUUUGACUGGACGUUUAGUGUCUUCUGUCAGGACAGCUUGUCAUGUUGUAUCUCUGAUUCAUACAGCAAAUAGAAUAAAGGUAAAUUCUGUCUGUGUGUAAACUGUAGUCAGACAUGUGUCAUGCUGCUGUGUGCUGAGGAAGGCUCACAGACUCUUUUUAUAGUCUUUCUGACUUUCCUCCAGCUUUAUGAGUCCUGAAAUGGGCUGUCUGUUCCCAUCUCCUCUCUCAGGUGUCCUUUAUGUCUCUCUGCGCCCUCACUGCCUGUCACAAUUUAUGGCAGAUAUCUUGUUUGUCCAUGUAGCAGUCACAAGUCUGGUGAUAAAUGUCUGCAUGUUGAAGUGUUCUUCCUCCUCUCCCGUCUGA
Molecule: long non-coding RNA, 1582 nt
Organism: Acanthopagrus latus (yellowfin seabream)
Lineage: Eukaryota; Metazoa; Chordata; Actinopteri; Spariformes; Sparidae
Exons: 3
Source: RefSeq, a predicted model, not a curated record